Molecule: ribosomal RNA, 301 nt
Filed under: uncultured bacterium
Lineage: Bacteria
Description: partial 16S ribosomal RNA
Rfam family: Bacterial small subunit ribosomal RNA
Source: RNAcentral
CAGUCGCCGCGGUAAUACGGAGGGGGCUAGCGUUGUUCGGAAUUACUGGGCGUAAAGCGCACGUAGGCGGCUUUGUAAGUAAGAGGUGAAAGCCCGGAGCUCAACUCCGGAACUGCCUUUUAGACUGCAUCGCUUGAAUCCAGGAGAGGUGAGUGGAAUUCCGAGUGUAGAGGUGAAAUUCGUAGAUAUUCGGAAGAACACCAGUGGCGAAGGCGGCUCACUGGACUGGUAUUGACGCUGAGGUGCGAAAGCGUGGGGAGCAAACAGGAUUAGAUACCCCCGUAGUCCCUGUCUCUUAUAC